GCGUCAGUUCACGUCAGCACGGCAAAUCGACCAGCUUGAGGGGCUGGCGGUCGCAAGACCGUGGGGGUUCGAGUCCCCCCUUCCGCACCA
Molecule: transfer RNA, 90 nt
Filed under: Acidobacteria bacterium RIFCSPLOWO2_12_FULL_68_19
Lineage: Bacteria; Pseudomonadati; Acidobacteriota
Description: tRNA-Leu
Source: RNAcentral